AUGUGGAUGUGGCCAUUUCCAGUGUCUCCACCCCACCACGAGCCCCUGUCGUCAGCUCACGGUGGAUUUUAGUGAAGAUGUGUCUGUAGCUGUCUUACAGGUGGAGGCUGAGGCUGUAGGUGGAGGUUUUAGCAUCAGCUAUCUUCAAGAAUCUGCAAGACAAGGAAGCUGCAGGAGGAGCUGGAGGUUGAAUUAGCUUGCAGCAAUCUGCAGGACUAGAUGGGUGGAGGCUGCUGACAGAGCAUGUGGAGGGUUUGGCCUUAGUUGUCUUCAACAACUGGCAGGUGGAGGUGGCUGCACGUUGCUGGAAGAGGUUGAUGGUGGAAGCUUGGGCUACAGAUGUCUACACCUACAGAUGCUGGAAGAUGGCAAAUCAGUAAAUGCAGCCGCUGUCAACGAACUCUUAAAUCAGCCUCCACCACCUACAUCAUCUGCCAGGACACUAACAACAUCUGCAAGCAACCUGAAGUGCUAUGUUCCAUCCUCCACCUACAUGCUCUGUCAGCAACAUCCACCGUGGCCUCCACCUGAAGAUUGCUUGCAGUAAGCUGAUUCCUCCACCUACAGCCUCUUACAGAAACCUGCAACACAGCCUCCAUCUGAUGAGUCUGACUAUACAAGUAUAUUCCAAGUCCGCACCUCCAGCCUCAAAAAUCUUGUGAUGCCACCUCCACCAUCAUAUUCUGGCAGAUGUUGGCCCAUGUCUCCACCUCCAGCCUCUCCCAACAACCAGCCAUCACCUCCACCUGCCAGUUGUUGUAGACAGCUAUGGCCAAACCCUUCACCUACAUCCGCUGCCAGAAUAUUCCACUGGGACCUCCACCUAUACAGUCAGCAUCCUGCAGCCUCCUCCACCCUCAGCUUCUAGCAGGCAGCUAAGACCAAAUCCUCUGAGGCUGUCCUCACCUCCACCUGAAGAUUCCUGUAGACAGCUUUAGUCUGCUCCUCCAUCUACCUCUGACAGUUGGAUUCAUCUCUGUGCUUCAACUACACAUGUGCCCAUUAAGUCCAACCUGUGUAACCUGCAUGGCAUGUCUCCUGUGGACCUAGAGCACUAACAAGAAGCAGAGAUAAGUAACACAUUUGUCACUUUUAAUGUAUUUUAACAAACUAUAUGACUUUGUAUGUACUUUAGAAAUUGUCAGUCUAAAUUAAUGUUUUUAAUCUCUUUUAUCCCUCCCUCUUCCAGGAUGUCAUCAGCAGAGCUACGUCACGAUCUUGUAGAUGUGGACAUUUCCAUUGCCUCCAUCCUGUGCCAGGAAUCUCCAGCUCCCUCCACCUGCAGAUUCGUGCAGACAGCUGUGGCCAGACCCUCCACCAACAUCUUCUGCCAUCAACAUGAACUACAACCUCCACCUGCAGAUGGCUGAAACCUGACUCCACUACCGCCACCACCACCUACAGCCUCUGCAAAAUUCUUGUAAUGCAAUAUCCCACAACGAGGACACUAAGAGGAAGCAGAGAGCCGUGUCAUGACCUUGUGGAUGUAGCCAUUUCCAUUGCCUCAACCCCACCUCCAACCUCUGCCAGGAAACUUCAGCUUCUUCCACCUGCAGAUUCUGGAAGACAGCUAAGGCCAGACUCUCCACCUCCAACCUCUGUCAGAAACCUACAACCCCAGUAAGCCGUUGCCUGAAGCCUCCACCAACAACCUGUGGCCUGUGUGACCUGCAUGACAUGUCUCCUGUGGAACUACUAGGACACUAUGAAGAAGCAGAAGUUAUCUACAGAGUUAUGUCCUCCUCCUCCUCAUUCUCCAAGUUUCUAACUUCUGCUCCUAUCCUCAACUGAGAGUGCUCCCUCACAUGGGCUCUUCCACUCAAAACCAAGGUUUGAGCCCAUCCAACAAGUCUGUGUCCUUUGACCUCUCUAUUGCAAGAAGGAAAAUGGAAAGAGAGUCAUUGAAAUACUUGCCUGCAUUAGUCUGUUCUCAGCAAAUGCUAUAAAAAUCAUCCAGCUGAAGAUUUGCUGUUUUGUCACUAUAACAAUACAGUUGUGAUACUCUAACUAACCAUGGUCUGAGUUAUUCCUGAUAUGUCAAAAGCUAAUGUGUAAAUGUGUGUAUUACAUUAGCUGCUGAAAUAAACAUGACGCAGACUGUACAGUGUGUUUUUGAUCACUUAACACAAACCAUGAAACUGAUUUAACACCAUAAGAAACAUUUUUCUUCAUAAAAGAGGAUAUGUUCACUGAUUUAUUACUAAUGUACUAAUGUAUUGAUAUAUUAUAUAUUGAUAUAAUAGGUAAUGCCAAAAAUGCUCACUUGACUUGCUGUGGCAUGUAGAGUUGAGCGAUAUAGAAAUACGAAAAUAUAUUUGUAAUACUUUCUGUGAAGGUGCAUCAUAAGCACAUUUAUAACACAUUCUAACACAUUUAAAAGGCUUUAUAAAACUCUUUAGAAAUGUUUAUAAUAAUAACAAGGUUUAUAAAGUUUUAUAAGUGGUGAAAA
Lates calcarifer (barramundi perch) is the source of this 2449-nucleotide long non-coding RNA. RefSeq lists it as uncharacterized. The transcript is spliced from 4 exons. Lineage: Eukaryota; Metazoa; Chordata; Actinopteri; Centropomidae. The record is from RefSeq and is a predicted model, not a curated record.